Long non-coding RNA from Xenia sp. Carnegie-2017, 375 nucleotides. RefSeq lists it as uncharacterized. NCBI's taxonomy places the organism in Eukaryota, Metazoa, Cnidaria, Anthozoa, Malacalcyonacea, Xeniidae. The record is from RefSeq and is a predicted model, not a curated record. The transcript is spliced from 3 exons.
UGAAAUUAAACGUAAUAGAAGCAUCUAGCGUACGCAAAAACAGUUUUGCAUGAGGACUCCUUGGACUAUUGAAAACACGAAUGAUUCCAAGACGAGGAAUCUGAUUCCGAAAGGGAAGAGGUUUGCAAGAAGAUUGAAAGUGUUUUGUGCAAACUUUUUUUAAUACAGAUGGAAUAGAAUACUCUAAGAAAUGCUAUUGACGAGGGAUAGUGCAAGGAUCAACAAAGUGUUUUCUUUAAAAAGUCAACUAAUGUCAUGGAAAAAGAUGUUGGGACUUAGGAUGAAUUGAAAAGCUUGUUUUGAACUUCUAAGAUCCUUUUCAUUGAAUUACAGUGUCAUAAAUAAAGUUAUCCUUCUUGGAAUAUGUAUUUGUCA